GACGAACGCUGGCGGCGUGCUUAACACAUGCAAGUCGAACGGAAAGGCCCUGCUUUUGUGGGGUGCUCGAGUGGCGAACGGGUGAGUAACACGUGAGUAACCUGCCCUUGACUUUGGGAUAACUUCAGGAAACUGGGGCUAAUACCGGAUAGGAGCUCCUGCUGCAUGGUGGGGGUUGGAACGUUUCGGCGGUUGGGGAUGGACUCGCGGCUUAUCAGCAUGUUGGUGGGGUAGUGGCUUACCAAGGCUUUGACGGGUAGCCGGCCUGAGAGGGUGACCGGCCACAUUAGGCCUGAGAUACGGCCCAGACUCCUACGGGAGGCAGCAGUGGGGAAUAUUGCACAAUGGGCGGAAGCCUGAUGCAGCAACGCCGCGUGCGGGAUAACGGCCUUCGGGUUGUAAACCGCUUUCGCCUGUGACGAAGCGUGAGUGACGGUAAUGGGUAAAGAAGCACCGGCUAACUACGUG
This 468-nucleotide ribosomal RNA is filed under the name uncultured bacterium. RNAcentral describes it as "partial 16S ribosomal RNA". It matches the Rfam family "Bacterial small subunit ribosomal RNA", at positions 28 to 507 of the family's 1533-position model. The record is from RNAcentral.